RNAcentral lists this unclassified non-coding RNA (248 nucleotides) under Pleosporales sp. RNAcentral's name for it is "partial contains 5.8S ribosomal RNA, internal transcribed spacer 2, and large subunit ribosomal RNA". Lineage: Eukaryota; Fungi; Ascomycota; Dothideomycetes; Pleosporales. The record is from RNAcentral.
CGCACAUUGCGCCCUUUGGUAUUCCUUAGGGCAUGCCUGUUCGAGCGUCAUUUCAAACUUCAAGCCCCCCUCAUGGCUUGGUGUUGGGCGUCUGUCCUCCCCCCGGGACUCGCCUCAAAUGCAUUGGCAGCCGGCACGUUGGCUUCGAGCGCAGCAGAAACGCGCGCGGCGUCUGACGGUGCAGGCUCUCCAGGAAGCUUCCCCCCCAGUUUGACCUCGGAUCAGGUAGGGAUACCCGCUGAACUUAA